UGGUGGAGUGAUUUGUCUGGUUAAUUCCGAUAACGAACGAGACCUUAACCUGCUAAAUAGCCAGGCCGGCUUUGGCUGGUCGCAGGCUUCUUAGAGGGACUAUCGGCAUCUAGCCGAUGGAAGUUUGAGGCAAUAACA
This 138-nucleotide ribosomal RNA is filed under the name uncultured eukaryote. RNAcentral describes it as "partial 18S ribosomal RNA". It matches the Rfam family "Eukaryotic small subunit ribosomal RNA", at positions 1299 to 1458 of the family's 1831-position model. The record is from RNAcentral.